UACAGAGGUGGCAAGCGUUGUUCGGAAUUACUGGGCGUAAAGGGCGCGUAGGCGGCCUACUAAGUCAGACGUGAAAUCCCCAGGCUUAACUUGGGAACUGCGUCUGAUACUGGGAGGCUUGAGUGCGGGAGAGGGAUGUGGAAUUCCAGGUGUAGCGGUGAAAUGCGCAGAUAUCAGGAGGAACACCGAUGGCGAAGGCAGGUCUCUGGGCAUUAACUGACGCUGAGGAGCGAAAGCAAGGGGAGCGAACAGG
This 253-nucleotide ribosomal RNA is filed under the name uncultured bacterium. RNAcentral describes it as "partial 16S ribosomal RNA". It matches the Rfam family "Bacterial small subunit ribosomal RNA", at positions 524 to 776 of the family's 1533-position model. The record is from RNAcentral.